ACAUCAAAGUAUAGGAGGUCCAGCCUGCCCAGUGACUACAAGUUUAACGGCCGCGGUAUUUUGACCGUGCAAAGGUAGCGCAAUCACUUGUCUUUUAAAUGAAGACCUGUAUGAAUGGCUAAACGAGGGCUUAACUGUCUCCCUUUUCAAGUCAGUGAAAUUGAUCUAUCCGUGCAGAAGCGGGUAUAAAAAUACAAGACGAGAAGACCCUUUGGAGCUUAAGGUACAAACCCAGCCAUGUCAAGCAACUAAUUCAAAAGCAUAAACCUAAUGGAUAGUGGAAUUUUACCUUCGGUUGGGGCGACCACGGAGAAAAAAACAUCCUCCGAGUGGAUUGGGACCAAAACCUAAAACCAAGAAAGACACUUCUAAGUCACAGAAAAUCUGACCAAUUAUGAUCCGGCCAAAAGGCCGAUCAACGAACCAAGUUACCCUAGGGAUAACAGCGCAAUCCCCUCCCAGAGUCCAUAUCGACAAGGGGGUUUACGACCUCGAUGUUGGAUCAGGACAUCCUAAUGGUGCAGCCGCUAUAAGGGUUCGUUGUUCAACGAUUAAAGU
This 558-nucleotide ribosomal RNA is filed under the name Ambastaia nigrolineata (black-lined loach). Its description in RNAcentral is "partial large subunit ribosomal RNA". It matches the Rfam family "Bacterial large subunit ribosomal RNA", at positions 1835 to 2594 of the family's 2925-position model. The record is from RNAcentral. Lineage: Eukaryota; Metazoa; Chordata; Actinopteri; Cypriniformes; Botiidae.